GGCCUCGCAGCUCAGCUGGUAGAGCGUUCGCGUACACAGCGAAGGCGGCGUCCAUGCGUGGGUUCGAAUCCCACCAGGGCUA
RNAcentral lists this transfer RNA (82 nucleotides) under Echinostoma caproni. It matches the Rfam family "tRNA". From Rfam's summary of the family: Transfer RNA (tRNA) molecules are approximately 80 nucleotides in length. Their secondary structure includes four short double-helical elements and three loops (D, anti-codon, and T loops). The record is from Rfam by way of RNAcentral. Lineage: Eukaryota; Metazoa; Platyhelminthes; Trematoda; Plagiorchiida; Echinostomatidae.